Molecule: non-coding RNA, 87 nt
Filed under: unclassified sequences
Source: RNAcentral
CCUUGAAGAGCACUAUGUCAAACGAAAGUAGCUAAGCCUAUAGAUGUAAAUUUAUAGACGGCAAAAUCGGACGUGAUGAACAAGGAA